Molecule: ribosomal RNA, 497 nt
Filed under: uncultured bacterium
Lineage: Bacteria
Description: partial 16S ribosomal RNA
Rfam family: Bacterial small subunit ribosomal RNA
Source: RNAcentral
GAUGAACGCUGGCGGCGUGCCUAAUACAUGCAAGUCGAACGCUGAAGGAAGGAGCUUGCUCUUUCCGGAUGAGUUGCGAACGGGUGAGUAACGCGUAGGUAACCUGCCUGGUAGCGGGGGAUAACUAUUGGAAACGAUAGCUAAUACCGCAUAACAGUAGAUGUUGCAUGAUAUCUACUUAAAAGGUGCAAUUGCACCACUACCAGAUGGACCUGCGUUGUAUUAGCUAGUUGGUGAGGUAACGGCUCACCAAGGCGACGAUACAUAGCCGACCUGAGAGGGUGAUCGGCCACACUGGGACUGAGACACGGCCCAGACUCCUACGGGAGGCAGCAGUAGGGAAUCUUCGGCAAUGGACGGAAGUCUGACCGAGCAACGCCGCGUGAGUGAAGAAGGGUUUCGGAUCGUAAAGCUCGGUUGUAAGAGAAGAACGAGUGUGAGAGUGGAAAGUUCACACUGUGACGGUAGCUUACCAGAAAGGGACGGCUAACUACGUG